AAUGUAUUUUGAUAUAUAUUAUAUGCAUCAAGUUAUAAAGGUUGGAAACAUUGCAAAAUUGUUUGGAGCAAAGUUUUUAACUUCACGAUCUUCAUCUUGAAGUCAGUUCAGCGUCGGCCCUGGUCACAAGCAGAAGAAGCAUGGGCUUCCAGCUGACACGAUAAUAAGUAUUUUCGCGGCCACAUAUUUAUAAAAAGUGACUUUAGCCUAGUGGUUCUAAGAAAAAUUACCAAUGCUAGAGGUGCUGGGUUCAAUUACCCUUAACUGCAUUCGUUUAUUUUGGUCCUAAAUAUAAAAUGGGACACGUGUCACUCCCAGAACGUACGAAUUGAUGACGUGGCUUCACGGGAGAGAGGCAAAUAUUUCUUUAUAUAUAUAGAUAAGAUAAACUUUUGUGGUGCACCAAAAAAAAAAAUUUGUUUGUAUUUAAUGUUAAGAAAGAAAUUAAUGACCAAUGAUAUUUUCUUAGACUAGUACUUCUUUCCAUUUUCCUGGUUCUUAUAUAUAUAUAUAUAUAUAUAUAUAUAUAUAUAUAUAUAUAUAUAUAUAUUACAAACCCUAAAACUAAGCUUUGGCCUGCAUGGGAGUUAGAGCGUAUUAAUUGGUGAGACCAGUACAUUAAUUAGUGGCUUUUCAUUUCCCAUUAAACGAUCGUCGAGAUUCGUGUCUUAUUACUCCCUCCGUUUUUUAUUAUAAGUCGUUUUAUAGAAACUUUUUUGUUCCAAAUUAUAUGUCGUUUUCGGUUUUCUAUGUAAAAUUUAUUAAUAAUUAAUGUUGUGUGACCAAUAGUAAUAUAUCUUCUAUUUUUCUAUUGGUUGAAUUGUGGUUAGGUAAAUAAUUAAUGAUGUUUUUGUUUAGAAAAUAUAAGAAAUUAAUGGUUUUCUUAAUCUACGUGCAUAGCUGUAAAACGACUUAUAUUAAAAAACGGAGGGAGUAUUAUUCUGCCAACAGAAACUGUAGUCUAAUAUCAGUUACAAAAAAAAGAAACUGUAGUCUAAUAAUCGUGUAGAUUCCCCAGUAAUUAAUCGUCUGACCCCAUUUUUCCCGGAUCCCACUUGUAACGAUAAAAGUCUUUAGACUUUAGCCCAAAAAAAGAAGAUAAGGCUCCGAAUGGUAACUGCGGUUUGAGCGGUGCGAGACAAGCGGUUUAAUUGCAGUGCGGUUUUAACAAUUAUAAAAACGUAUAGAUAUAUGAUAAAUGUAGAAAUUUUUGUUACUGUUAACUGCAGUGCGGAGCGGGGCGGUUCGUAACAUUCGAAGCCUAAGAGUUGUUACCUUAUUUUAAAUCCUUCAUCACAUGUUUCGGUCUGGAACUGAAACAUGAUACUCCCUCCGUUUCUGAAUAAGUGUCAAUUUGACAUUUUUCAAACAGAUCAAAAAAGUAACAAAAAUAUAUGUAAAUUGUUAUUAAUUACAUCUUUCUGACCAAAAGUAUUUGAGAUAAAUAAAAUUAUUUAUAAAACCAAUACAGUUUAUAAUUAAUUUACAGCUGAAAGUAAAUAUAAUCAAUACAAUACUAAAAGUUGAAUAAGAUCAACAUCUAAGCUGUCCACAUAGGACUAAAAAAUCAACCAAUAGAAAAGAGUUAUUUUGCCAUGUCAUAUGAGCUUCGUUCGAAAAUGAUAAUUAUCGAGACUUUCGUGUGGGCUUAUGAUAUUUGGCCCAGUCAAACUCACUUCUGGAAAUGGCUCACAAACUUUCUCUUCUCAGUUUCGGAUCCUUGGAGAUCUCCGUUACACGCAACAUCUUUAUCAAUCAAUUAUCUUUUACUCUUUUCUUUAUGGUCUCAUUUCACCUCCCUAUUAUAUUCUCCUAUAAAAAUCGUUUCUUCCAAACUUUAAUUCAACCAAAAUUGAAAGCUAUGGCCAUGAGAAAUAAAUAAUUCAGAGUCUCUUGCUCUUCCUCUACUCUUUGUACCCGGUAAUCAAACCCCACAGUAUUCAUAGCUAUAGGAACGGCGAAAUCCACCGCCACAGCCCCGGCUUAAUUUUAUAAGGAUGUGAUCGUUUACCACCAAGUUUGCUUGCUUACAUGGUUGCAGCUUCAUAACUCGUGCCAUGUUUGUCAUACGAGUUCAUGACUCAUGGAGGUCAGACCAGUGGGGAAGACAGACAACAAACGGUUGAGAUUUCGCCGACUCCGAGGAGGUUUAGUUUAUCAUAUCCAUGGCCACUCAAGAGACAUGAUACGAAUUAGGAUUCUGGGAGUGGAUCUGAUAUCGAUACUACGUAGGAUGAAUUGGAUUGAGAAAUUCAUGGCAUACAAUGAAAUUCUCAAAACAUUUGAAGAUCAAGAGGAGUUAAAAGAGGUUUGACCUUCAAAUGCUAGCAAGAAGGCGGAUCAAUGGGUAGCUUUUCGAAUAUACUCUGUAGACAUUCCUUUUACCUGUUCUCCUCUCCAAUAUUUGUGUUGCCACUUGCCAGUGGCCCAGUGUUAACAAUGGUGGCUUCCCUAAACCCACGUCUGUUAUUCUCCUCAACUAACAAAAUGUGUUUCAUGUAGCAUUUAAAGCACUGAAUUUUUUUCAGGGUUAUGGAAAUGGGGAAGAAGCUUGCAGAGAGGAUAAGGAGCAAAGGGCCUUACAUUGUCCUGAGUGUAUCUAAUUGUGGCUUUGAAAAUUCAUUUUCUACACCGAAGAAAAGAAGAAGCCAGUGACUGUUUUUUAACGUUUUGUUGUCUUCUAAGCUCUGUGAAUGUUUAUAAAACUGGUGUUUUGAUGAUUAUGUGCCUCACAUUUUUUUUGUUUUUAUGGAUAGGUUGAAUCACAGCUCACUGAAUAAAAAAAUACCCAACUCCGUAUUUUCGAAUGGUCUUACAUAACUGUCUCCAGUGGGAUCAGUGGCCUUAUGCUACUGUCGAUAUACUACAGAUUCCACCAACGCCAUAUCUACAAAGCCAAAAAGGAGGAAGAUGAACAUGACAACUUGAAGCCAGCCUCUAUCGCUGGGGGUGGAAACUGCAGCAAAUCAUAGUAGACACUACAAGGUACUCGCAUGUUGAAGCAAAAGAAGUUUUCUUUUCUGUUACAAAGCUUUCCCAAUCUAAAGACACUGGUUUGGGAGAGAACGGUUUACUUGAUCAUAAAGGAACUUUCUCCAUCAGCUGAUAAGGUUCAUAGUUUGUAAUUUGCUUAGGUGGCUGAAUCCUAAUACCAAUACUGAAGGUAUAGUUUCUUAAUUUGCUUCACCAGUGCCAACAAUCACAAAAUUAUAAUUUGUUCUUCUUCCUUCAGAUUCUAAUGAUUGGUUGUUAUUUGAGUCAUUGUGAUUUUCAGUAGGGAUGUUUAAAUGAAGAUAGAAUCUAACAAGUCAGUGUCGGAGGUUAAUAAUGAAAUUGAGAGUGAGGAUGGUAGUGAAUAGGUUUGUAGUUGAUCAUUUUAAAUUACGUUUCAUUGUGUAUAAUCAAAUUCAUGAUGAGAACGGUGACCAAGGUUGAAAUUUGUAGCAUAAGUACAGAUGGUUGAUCUCUUUGUCUUCUUUAUGUUUUCGUAAAAUUGUUAUGGAAAUGAUUAAAAGAGAGUGUUUUUCUUUAUUAUUCUCUUUGUUUUAAAACUUCACAAAAUGUUUUAUUCCCUACAUAAUUUAGAUUCUUAUUUUAUAAAUUUGUGAUCUCAUAUUUCUAUUUUGACAUGUGAUCAAUUCAAAUAAAAUUAUAGAUGAAAAUUGAUAAAUUAAAUUGAUUUAUUUGGCCAAGAUAAUGUCAUUGUUUCAAACUCAUGCCCAAUUCUAAAUUUACACAUUUCUAACAAAUUAUAUAUAAUAUCCUUUUCUAUAUAAAUUAUCAAAAAAAGCAACAAAUUAGUGAUAAAGCAGUAUAAGGAAUUGUAUUAAUCUUUGAUGAUGCAAUUAAAUAAAACAUAAAAUAUUCAGAAAUUUACCAAGUAUAGCUAUAAAAUAGUAAUAAUUAAUAAAUAAAAUGAAUAAAAACUAAUUUCAAUUUGCAACGAAGUAAGAAGAAAAUAAAAAAAUAAGGAUUAUAAAAUGAAAAAAUAAAGAGGAAAUAAACACACAAAUUUAUUACUUCAAUGUAUUCGUGAAUAAGUUUGAACCAAGAUGAGUCUACUUUUUUGCUACCAAAAUUGUUUUCAAGCAAAUAGUAAACAAUAAAUCAAUCAAAUUAAAAAAAAAUUAUUAAUUAUAUUUUUAAUUUAUAUAAAAUUUAAAACUAAACAUAAUAUACGUUUAUAUAUAUAAUUAAGAACAUAUAUUAAGGAUUUUUGAUGUAUAUAUCAUGCAUUCCCAUUAUAGUAUUUUUUUUACAAAUGGUAAUACAUUCUAACAUCAUCUUCACAUAACAUUCAAAUCACCCAAGAAACCACAAUAAUUCUAUUAAGAAAAUAUACCCAAAAUACAUUCAUACAUCUUAUGGUGAAACUUACAAUCAACUCUUAUGUCUAGCCACUUACAAACACAUUCCUAUUAGAUUGUUUUAUAAAUGAAUUUUGUGUUUACUUAUUUAAAUUUAAAAAUAGAAAAUGUUUUUGAUUUUCAAGGUCCAUCCUAAUAUUAUUGAGAAAAUACACAUAACAGAAAAAAAUUUAACACAAAAAAAAACUAAAUACAAAAACAUAUUUCGUUAUAGGUUUGCUUUUCUAGAGGUACAAAAAAAAUAUAUAAAUAGAAAGAAAAAUUACAAAAAAUGUUUUAAUCUUGAAAUAUCUCACAUCGAACUUUUAUACAUUUCUUAAUAUGAAAUGGCCAAAUAAUAAAUUUUGACAAUUUCAAAGCAUAUAAUAGGAAAUAUAAAUUAACUUGAUAACAAUCACUAAUCCAAAUUAAACAUAUAUAAAGCUGAAUGGAAAAUAAAUUUCAUUAUCAUGUUUGAUUUUUUAAAACAUUACAGAAAUUAUUAUUCACCUCAACAUUUAAAAUAAAAUAUUAUUCUUACUUUACUUAAGAUAGUCACAUUAAUCCACUCAGAAGCUAAUAAAAACAUAUAUUACAUA
Molecule: long non-coding RNA, 4945 nt
Organism: Brassica rapa (field mustard)
Lineage: Eukaryota; Viridiplantae; Streptophyta; Magnoliopsida; Brassicales; Brassicaceae
Source: RefSeq, a predicted model, not a curated record